This 751-nucleotide ribosomal RNA is filed under the name uncultured Cohnella sp. RNAcentral describes it as "bacterial SSU rRNA". It matches the Rfam family "Bacterial small subunit ribosomal RNA", at positions 49 to 781 of the family's 1533-position model. Lineage: Bacteria; Bacillati; Bacillota; Bacilli; Caryophanales; Paenibacillaceae. The record is from RNAcentral.
CUAUACAUGCAGUCGAACGAAUCUAGAAGUUAGCUUGCUAACUUCUAGGUUAGUGGCGGACGGGUGAGUAACACGUAGGCAACCUGCCCCUAAGAUCGGGAUAACAUUCGGAAACGAAUGCUAAGACCGGAUACAUAAGUUGAUCGCAUGGUCGGCUUAGGAAACACGGUGCAAGCUGUGGCUUAGGGAUGGGCCUGCGGCGCAUUAGCUAGUUGGUGGGGUAACGGCUCACCAAGGCGACGAUGCGUAGCCGACCUGAGAGGGUGAACGGCCACACUGGGACUGAGACACGGCCCAGACUCCUACGGGAGGCAGCAGUAGGGAAUCUUCCACAAUGGGCGAAAGCCUGAUGGAGCAACGCCGCGUGAGUGAGGAAGGCUUUCGGGUCGUAAAGCUCUGUUGCCAGGGAAGAAUAAGGGUGAGAGUAACUGCUCAUUCGAUGACGGUACCUGAGAAGAAAGCCCCGGCUAACUACGUGCCAGCAGCCGCGGUAAUACGUAGGGGGCAAGCGUUGUCCGGAAUUAUUGGGCGUAAAGCGCGCGCAGGCGGUUCUUUAAGUCUGGUGUCUAAGUGCGGGGCUCAACCCCGUGAUGCACUGGAAACUGGGGAACUUGAGUGCAGAAGAGGAGAGCGGAAUUCCACGUGUAGCGGUGAAAUGCGUAGAGAUGUGGAGGAACACCAGUGGCGAAAGCGGCUCUCUGGACUGUAACUGACGCUGAGGCGCGAAAGCGUGGGGAGCAAACAGGAUUAG